RNA transcript from Peromyscus leucopus (white-footed mouse), 1033 nucleotides. It is a transcript of the gene named SET domain-containing protein 4-like, with no coding region annotated. Lineage: Eukaryota; Metazoa; Chordata; Mammalia; Rodentia; Cricetidae. The transcript has 4 exons. The record is from RefSeq and is a predicted model, not a curated record.
GCCUGUCAUCACCUCAGAAACAAAACAGAAAUCCUUUGCUUUCCUUCUCUUUUGAAAACGUUUGUCAGUUUUCACGAAUUCCCUCUGUGGCUAGAGUCGCGGAUGCAUGGACUGCUGUGCAUCUGGCUCGUGGACAGCAUUCCCGUCCUCCUCCCUGCAUUCUUAGGCAGCCUGUUCCUGGCCGUGGCUCUAGGGUCUUCACCUGUUACACUUGGAUGAACUAGUGGGGAUGUGAACCUCGCUUCUCCCUAGUCUGUCCUCAGCCCCGGAAACUGUAACAGCCUUUUGGGGACUGAGAUUUCUGCGCGUUGCCCUGAGGAGAACACUUAGUGUGAACUAGGAGGCACUCUUGGUUGUACAGGGUGGUAAUGGAGGGAUCGUGGGCUGGAGGAGAGGGGCAUGUACUUUGACUGAAGUGUAUCCUACUCUGAUAUCGAUUGUCUCUUUCACGUAGAGACGCUGGUGAAGUACCUCCCACCCGCGGAUAAGCAGGCGCACAAGAAGAUGUCCAUUCUGAAGGAUCAUGGCUUUACAGAAAAUUUGACAUUCGGAUGGGAUGGACCAUCUUGGAGGUUACUCACAGCUCUCAAGUUGUUGUGUCUGGAAGCUGAGAAAUUGGUGAAUGCUGUCUCCAGUAAUUGAGGGACCUGCUGAAAUGAUCUUACUGGACAUUCUGGUUCUAGUACAUCCUGGAAAAAAGUACUCCUUGGAGAAGUCAUCUCAGAUACAAACGAGAAGACAAGCUUGGACAUGGCACAGAGAAUAUGCUCUGACUUCAUCGAAGAGACUCAUGCUGUGCUGCGUAAGGUUGCUGACAUGAAGGAGAGGGAAGUGUUGCUGAUAAAUCAACUCACUUUGGUGGAAGCAUUGCGGAUGGAAGAGCUGAGGAUUCUCCAGGCUUCCGCUGAGAUUGUGAGCAGUUUACAAGUCUCCUUUUUGUGACAGCACAGGGCACAUGUGAUUCUCUCCUGUGGAGGGUGCACUUUCUGCAGUUUUACUGAGGUUGGAAUAAAUAGACUUUUAUAUGAAAUUA